This 475-nucleotide ribosomal RNA is filed under the name uncultured Desulfobulbus sp. Its description in RNAcentral is "bacterial SSU rRNA". It matches the Rfam family "Bacterial small subunit ribosomal RNA", at positions 916 to 1381 of the family's 1533-position model. Lineage: Bacteria; Pseudomonadati; Thermodesulfobacteriota; Desulfobulbia; Desulfobulbales; Desulfobulbaceae. The record is from RNAcentral.
GACGGGGCCCGCACAAGCGGUGGAGUAUGUGGUUUAAUUCGAUGCAACGCGAAGAACCUUACCUGGUCUUGACAUCCCGGAGACCCUUAGGAAACUAGGGGGUGCUUCCAUCUGGAAGAAUCUGGAGACAGGUGCUGCAUGGCUGUCGUCAGCUCGUAUCGUGAGAUGUUGGGUUAAGUCCCGCAACGAGCGCAACCCUUGCCUUUAGUUGCCAGCAGUUCGGCUGGGCACUCUAAAGGGACUGCCGGUGUUAAACCGGAGGAAGGUGGGGAUGACGUCAAGUCCUCAUGGCCUUUAUGACCAGGGCUACACACGUACUACAAUGGCCGAUACAAAGGGCAGCGACACUGCGAGGUGAAGCCAAUCCCGUAAAAUCGGUCUCAGUCCGGAUUGGAGUCUGCAACUCGACUCCAUGAAGUUGGAAUCGCUAGUAAUCGUGGAUCAGCAUGCCACGGUGAAUACGUUCCCGGGCCUU